UGGGGAAUAUUGGACAAUGGGCGAAAGCCUGAUCCAGCCAUGCCGCGUGUGUGAAGAAGGUCUUCGGAUUGUAAAGCACUUUAAGUUGGGAGGAAGGGCAGUAAGCGAAUACCUUGCUGUUUUGACGUUACCGACAGAAUAAGCACCGGCUAACGCUGUGCCAGCAGCCGCGGUAAUACAGAGGGUGCAAGCGUUAAUCGGAAUUACUUGGCGUAAAGCGCGCGUAGGUGGUUCGUUAAGUUGAAUGUGAAAGCCCCGGGCUCAACCUCGGAACUGCAGCCAAGACUGGCGAGUCAGAGUAGUGUAGUGCGUGCUGGAAUUUCCCGUGUAGCGGUGAAAUGCGUAGAUAUAGGAAGGAACACCAGUGGCGAAGGCGACCACCUGAGCUAAUACUGACACUGAGGUGCGAAAGCGUGGGGAGCAAACAGG
RNAcentral lists this ribosomal RNA (429 nucleotides) under Pseudomonadota bacterium. Its description in RNAcentral is "Proteobacteria bacterium partial 16S ribosomal RNA". It matches the Rfam family "Bacterial small subunit ribosomal RNA", at positions 355 to 776 of the family's 1533-position model. The record is from RNAcentral. Lineage: Bacteria; Pseudomonadati; Pseudomonadota.